This 465-nucleotide ribosomal RNA is filed under the name uncultured bacterium. RNAcentral's name for it is "bacterial SSU rRNA". It matches the Rfam family "Bacterial small subunit ribosomal RNA", at positions 45 to 507 of the family's 1533-position model. The record is from RNAcentral.
UGCCUUACACAUGCAAGUCGAACGGCAGCACGGGGCAACCCUGGUGGCGAGUGGCGAACGGGUGAGUAAAGCAUCGGAACGUGCCUGGAGUGGGGGAUAACGUAGCGAAAGUUACGCUAAUACCGCAUAUUCUGUGAGCAGGAAAGCAGGGGAUCGCAAGACCUUGCGCUCUGGGAGCGGCCGAUGUCGGAUUAGCUAGUUGGUGGGGUAAAGGCCUACCAAGGCGACGAUCCGUAGCGGGUCUGAGAGGAUGAUCCGCCACACUGGGACUGAGACACGGCCCAGACUCCUACGGGAGGCAGCAGUGGGGAAUUUUGGACAAUGGGCGAAAGCCUGAUCCAGCCAUGCCGCGUGAGUGAAGAAGGCCUUCGGGUUGUAAAGCUCUUUCGGUGGGGAAGAAAUUGCAUAGGCUAAUACCCUGUGUAGAUGACGGUACCUGGAGAAGAAGCACCGGCUAACUACGUG